Molecule: ribosomal RNA, 468 nt
Filed under: uncultured bacterium
Lineage: Bacteria
Description: partial 16S ribosomal RNA
Rfam family: Bacterial small subunit ribosomal RNA
Source: RNAcentral
GACGAACGCUGGCGGCGUGCUUAACACAUGCAAGUCGAACGGAAAGGCCCUGCUUUUGUGGGGUGCUCGAUUGGCGAACGGGUGAGUAACACGUGAGUAACCUGCCCUUGACUUUGGGAUAACUUCAGGAAACUGGGGCUAAUACCGGGUAGGAGCUCCUGCUGCAUGGGGGGGGUUGGAAAGUUUCGGCGGUGGGGGAUGGACUCGCGGCUUAUCAGCUGGUUUGUGUGGUAGUGGCUUACCAAGGCUUUGACGGGUAGCCGGCCUGAGAGGGUGACCGGCCACAUUGGGACUGAGAUACGGCCCAGAAUCCUACGGGAGGCAGCAGUGGGGAAUAUUGCACAAUGGGCGGAAGCCUGAUGCAGCAGCGCCGCGUGCGGGAUGCCGGCCUUCGGGUUGUAAACCGCUUUCGCCUGUGACGAAGCGUGCGUGACGGUAAUGGGUAAAGAAGCACCGGCUAACUACGUG